GGAGAAAGCGCUUCCCUCAACGCAGGAGCUGGCGGUCAUCAUCGCUGCUGUCUUCAGGAGUCAGCAAUGUCCUGCACUCUCCCUCUCCCAGCAGUGAGGGGGGGUCAAACAUCCUGACACCUGGGGCCAAAUGUCCCAGCCCACCACCCUCAGGAGGACGUGGUGUGUGGUCAGCUUUCCCGCCAGAAUGCAGGGAACUUGGGGAUAACAACCCCCUCAACCAGGUCCAUGAGGUGGGGUCAGCUACUUGCAAUUAAUUUCUGAUUUUUCUUCAUGAUACAUCUUUUGUUAACAAAUAACAGAGACCACUAAACAGUAGGGGUAUCUGGGGGGGAUAAUUAUUGAGCUGAUGGGAAUUCAGAGACUGGUUCAUGGUCCAAAUGCCAUCUGGAUAGUUCCAAACAGACAAACAAACAAAUCCACAUAAUUCUGUUUUAUCCUGUGGUUCCUUGUUUCAUGAUGCUAGGUGCUUGCGCCUGGAACACAGAAAAUGUAUCACAAAUUGUAUUAAAUAAACCAAACCAACAAAAGGGUAUUUGCAAAAUAAGAGACUUGAGUGACUUGGGUCACUUGAGCCACUCUGUGGAGCUGAGGAUAGGAGGGGUGAGUAGAGGCCACACUAGGUGGUACAGAGCUCCCCAGAACUUGGAGUGUUGGUUAUUGCAGGGUUCCCCAGCCUCCUCCCCAACUUGUCUACUUUUCUACGAGUAACAAUGGACAAGAAUCUCAUUCCCAUUUUUAUGGCUUCUGCUCAGAGUCACUUUUUGCAGAGAGAGAAAUUAUCUAACGUCUCUUUUUUCCAGCAACUGGCACAGUGUUUAGUAUUUAAUAAACAUCAAAAAUGGUCAUUGUAUAUCCCUUGCUUUAAUUAUUCCCAAAGGUAUGACUUGAGAACUAGAACGAGACACAGUGCCCUCUACUUAAUUCAAGCUUUUAUUCUUAAAUUUGAAUUUCUGUAAAGUCUUU
This 966-nucleotide long non-coding RNA is filed under the name Marmota monax (woodchuck). Lineage: Eukaryota; Metazoa; Chordata; Mammalia; Rodentia; Sciuridae. The record is from RNAcentral.